RNAcentral lists this ribosomal RNA (254 nucleotides) under uncultured bacterium. RNAcentral describes it as "partial 16S ribosomal RNA". It matches the Rfam family "Bacterial small subunit ribosomal RNA", at positions 524 to 776 of the family's 1533-position model. The record is from RNAcentral.
UACGUAGGGGGCAAGCGUUGUCCGGAUUUAUUGGGCGUAAAGAGCUCGUAGGUGGUUCGGUAAGUCGGAUGUGAAAUCUCCAGGCUCAACCUGGAGGGGUCAUUCGAUACUGCCGUGACUAGAGUUCGGUAGGGGAGUGUGGAAUUCCUGGUGGAGCGGUGAAAUGCGCAGAUAUCAGGAGGAACACCAAUGGCGAAGGCAGCACUCUGGGACGUGACUGACGCUGAGACGCGAAAGCGUGGGGAGCGAACAGG